RNAcentral lists this ribosomal RNA (301 nucleotides) under uncultured bacterium. RNAcentral's name for it is "partial 16S ribosomal RNA". It matches the Rfam family "Bacterial small subunit ribosomal RNA", at positions 509 to 807 of the family's 1533-position model. The record is from RNAcentral.
CAGCCGCCACGGGAAUACGUAGGGUGCAAGCGUUAAUCGGAAUUACUGGGCGUAAAGCGUGCGCAGGCGGUUUUGUAAGACAGAGGUGAAAUCCCCGGGCUCAACCUGGGAACUGCCUUUGUGACUGCAAGGCUAGAGUACGGCAGAGGGGGAUGGAAUUCCGCGUGUAGCAGUGAAAUGCGUAGAUAUGCGGAGGAACACCGAUGGCGAAGGCAAUCCCCUGGGCCUGUACUGACGCUCAUGCACGAAAGCGUGGGGAGCAAACAGGAUUAGAUACCCCCGUAGUCCCUGUCUCUUAUAC